AGAGGGCAGAGGGACAAUGAUCCCAAAGCCAUGGAGUUCCCUGGAGCUGGGAAAACAGGGAAUGGUCCUGGAAUACUUGGGAAGGUGACACUGGUUUGUCACCUCGAGCAGAGGAGAAGAGCUGGAUCCCGAGUUUCCCUGGAUUGGAUCCCAGUUUUCCUUGGACACAUCCCUGCUCUGGGAUGCUCCAGGGGCCAGGGGGACAAUGAUCCCAAAGCCAUGGAGUUCCCCGGAGCCGGGAAAACAGGGAAUAGUCCUGGAACACUUGGGAAGGUGACACUGGUUUGUCACCUCAGUCAGAGAAGUGAAGUGCCUGAUUUCCCUGGAUUUUAUCCCGGUUUUCCUUGGACACAUCCUUGCCCUGGGAUGCUCCAGAGGGCAGAGGGACAAUGAUCCCAAAACCAUGGAGUUCCCUGGAGCUGGGAAAACAGGUAGGGAAUGGUCCUGGAAUACUUGGGAAGGUGACACUGGUUUGUCACCUCAAGCAGAGAAGUGACGUGCCAGGUUUUCCCUGGAUGGGAUCCCGGUUUUCCUUGGACACAUCCCUGCUCUGGGAUGCUCCAGGAGGGCAGAGGGACAAUGAUCCCAAAGCCAUGGAGUUCCCUGGAGCCGGGAAAACAGGGAAUGGUCCUGGAAUACUUGGGAAGGUGACACUGGUUUGUCACCUCAGUCAGAGAAGAGCUGGAUCCCGAGUUUCCCUGGAUGAGAUCCCGGUUUUCCUUGGCUGCAUCCCCCUCUCCUGGAGCUGGGAGGUCUGGCUGAGUCCCAGCAGGACACGCCAGGGCUUGGAUCCUUCCCAGGCCCGGCUUUGGCAGGAGCAGCUCCAGGAAAUCUCCGGAGCUCCGCGAGC
Molecule: long non-coding RNA, 850 nt
Filed under: Manacus vitellinus (golden-collared manakin)
Lineage: Eukaryota; Metazoa; Chordata; Aves; Passeriformes; Pipridae
Description: lncRNA (ENSMVIG00005003058.1)
Source: RNAcentral